CCUAAGGUAGCGAAAUUCCUUGUCAGGUAAGUUCUGACCCGCACGAAAGGCGUAACGAUUUGGGCGCUGUCUCAGCUGUAGACUCGGUGAAGUCUUAGUACCUGUGAAGAUGCAGGUUACCCGCGACUAGACGGAAAGACCCCAUGGAGCUUUACUGUAGCUUGAUAUUGGACUUUGAUGCAAGAUGUACAGGAUAGGUAGGAGACUGAGAGACAUGCACGCCAGUGUGUGAGGAGUCAAUGUUGGGAUACUACUCUUCUUGUAUUGGAGUUCUAACCGGAUGCCAUGGAACUGGCAACGGGACAGUGUCAGGUGGGCAGUUUGACUGGGGCGGUCGCCUCCCAAAGAGUAACGGAGGCGCCCAAAGAUACCCUCAGCUUGGAUGGAAAUCAAGCGCAGAGUGCAAAGGCAUAAGGGUGUUUGACUGCGAGACCUACAAGUCGAGCAGGGACGAAAGUCGGGCUUAGUGAUCCGGCGGUGCUGAAUGGAAAGGCCGUCGCUCAACGGAUAAAAGCUACCCUGGGGAUAACAGGCUGAUCUCCCCCAAGAGUUCACAUCGACGGGGAGGUUUGGCACCUCGAUGUCGGCUCAUCGCAUCCUGGAGCUGAAGUCGGUUCCAAGGGUUGGGCUGUUCGCCCAUUAAAGCGGUACGCGAGCUGGGUUCAGAACGUCGUGAGACAGUUCGGUCCCUAUCUGUCGUGGGCGUAGGAAGUUUGAGAAGAUCUGUCCUCAGUACGAGAGGACCGGGAUGGACAUAUCAAUGGUGCACCAGUUGUCACGCCAGUGGCACAGCUGGGUAGCUAAAUAUGGAAGGGAUAAACGCUGAAGGCAUCUAAGUGUGAAACCCACUUCAAGAUGAGACUUCCCAUUACGCAAGUAAGUAAGACCCCUUAAAGACGAUAAGGUUGAUAGGUCAGGAGUGUAAGCAUGGCGACAUGUUCAGCGGACUGAUACUAAUAGGUCGAGGACUUAACCUA
Molecule: ribosomal RNA, 977 nt
Filed under: human gut metagenome
Description: bacterial LSU rRNA
Rfam family: Bacterial large subunit ribosomal RNA
Source: RNAcentral